UGGGUGAGCGUAAAACCUAGAUUUCUAGGGUUUGUUCCUAAGAUUUGGGAAGAGAAAAAAAGAAGAGAGAAGGGUGUCUCCUCUCCAUAUUUCUUCCAUCUCUUCAUCAUCUCUAGAUGUCCUUCUUCAACCUUUGAAAAGAUUCGAGAGAUUUGAAGAAAGGAUCUAAAUCAGCCAACAAAAUGAUCUUCACGUGAGCUAGCACUCCCAAGAAGAUCGCUCAGAUUGGGGCUUUGAGUGGACCUUCCAUAGAGGCGAGACACAUAUGCAUUUGCGAGCAACCAGCAAGAAUACUCUUUACUAUAUUUAUCAGCAGUGGUGAUCAUCGACCCACACUCAAGUAUCGAGUUCUACACUCAGAAUAG
Molecule: long non-coding RNA, 365 nt
Filed under: Elaeis guineensis (African oil palm)
Lineage: Eukaryota; Viridiplantae; Streptophyta; Magnoliopsida; Arecales; Arecaceae
Description: long non-coding RNA (EGUI_LNC062548)
Source: RNAcentral